GAAAUCAUGCAUUACAAAGAUUAGUCAUCAGCUGUAUAAUUUGGGAGGAUAUCAAAAUAUUUACAAAAAGCGAAUUAUUUUAAAUAAUUUGCAACAAUUGUAGUAAUCUUAUCUUAUAGUUAAACCAAAACAAAUAUUAAAAUGAAUCGUCUGUUUGGAAAAGGUAAGCCAAAGGAGCCAGCACCAAAUCUGAACGAUUGUAUUGCCGGGGUUGAUACUCGUGCGAGUAACAUUGAAGAGAAGAUUACAAAGCUGGAUAAUGAAUUGCGUAAAUAUCGUGAACAAAUGUCGAAAAUGCGCGAAGGACCGGCUAAAAACUCCGUAAAACAGCGAGCUAUGCGUGUGCUGAAGCAGAAAAAGGCUUAUGAACAGCAAGUUGAAGCACUUCGUAAUCAGUCAUUCAAUAUGGAACAGGCUAACUAUGCUGCACAAUCGCUAAAAGACACACAAGCUACUGUAGCUGCAAUGAAGGAUGGUGUCAAACAAAUGCAGAAAGAAUUCAAGAAAGUCAAUAUCGAUCAAAUUGAGGAUAUCCAAGACGAUAUGGCCGAUAUGCUGGAGCAAGCAGAUGAAGUACAAGAAGCUUUAGGUCGUACAUAUGGCAUGCCAGAAGUUGACGAUGACGAACUGCAAGCUGAAUUGGAUGCACUAGGCGAUGAAAUAGCACUCGAUGAUGAUACCAGCUACUUGGAUGACAUGGUAAAAGCACCAUCAGCUCCCGAUAAGGAACCGGGUGCCGACAGUAUCGUACCCGGCAGUAAAAGUGGAAUUGAAACUGACGAGUUUGGCUUGCCUAAAGUGCCCACUUCGGUUAAAACGUCUUAAAUACAUUUUCUUCUGUUUGCGUCUCUAGGAAGAUGUCAAAAAAGUAACGGAAAUUAAGAGAAUUUAAAAGCUAAUCAUCAUUAAAUAAGCUUCAAACAUAAAAACCAAGUUGCUAUUCGCUCCGUGUUUAUAUUUCAUUGAGCCCGUCACUUCAAUUGUCUACACAACACCAUUUUAAUUAAAAGCAAUGAUCUCCAGCGUCUUCUGAUGUUUUAUUUAUCAAAUUUUAUAUACUUCUAUUAUUGGUAAUUUUUUAACAAAAUCGUGUAAUUUGAAAUUUUAGUAUCUUGAGUAUAAAUGUAUAUUAACAAGAGAAUAUUUAGCAAUGCUACUUGGCACAGUUGCAUUUAAAAGUAUGGCAAUAUUUAUGUGCAUUAUUUCGUUGACCUAUGUAAUUAAUUGUGAAAUUACAGAGAAACAUACAUUUAAAUAAUUGGGCAUAAUACUUUCACUUACAAUAUACACACAUACACUUAAUUAUUUCAUAAAACUUAAACGAAAAACAAACAAACAGUGCGUUACAGUAAUUCUAUUGCCAUUGGUAUUUUACUUUAAAUGUUUGCGCGCUAAAUGUUUUAAAAAUUGCAAAGGUUUUAUUGUCAAUUGAAACCAAUGAAGUCUUUAGAAUUGAAAAUUUUUAUAAACAUUUUUAAAUUUCGGAAGCAAAAGUUUAAUUAGUACAAAGACAUCGUCAAAAAAGUGUAAAAAGUUGGCUAGAAGCUUUGCAGACUAACGGU
Molecule: unclassified non-coding RNA, 1562 nt
Filed under: Bactrocera latifrons
Lineage: Eukaryota; Metazoa; Arthropoda; Insecta; Diptera; Tephritidae
Description: charged multivesicular body protein 5, transcript variant X4
Source: RNAcentral